CUGCCCUUCAUGGCAACAGAUCACACAGCAGCAAUGACUUUCAUCACCAUCUUCAUAUGGACACUUGUCUGCUUUCAUGGUUCCAGUGGCCAGAUUACUGUGACUCAGACUCCAUCAGUGACAUCUGUUCUCCCAGCACAGACAGUCACUGUGAGCUGUAAGACCAGCAGUUCUGUGGGUACCUGUUCUUAUAGUGGCUCAAAUUACCCCUGUCUUGCUUGGUACCAUCAGAAGCUGACAUGGUGUGUUCACAGAGUGUUACACGGCCGUACAAAAACCUCCCUCAGCUCUCCAGGAGCUGCUCUGGCUCAUCAACAGGCAACCACAGAGGACUGAGGCAGAGAACAGCUGCAGAGCUCCUACAAUCACACUGAAUAGGGU
This 381-nucleotide long non-coding RNA is filed under the name Lepisosteus oculatus (spotted gar). RNAcentral describes it as "lncRNA (ENSLOCG00000023156.1)". The record is from RNAcentral. Lineage: Eukaryota; Metazoa; Chordata; Actinopteri; Semionotiformes; Lepisosteidae.